This is a long non-coding RNA of Podarcis raffonei (Aeolian wall lizard), 1795 nucleotides long. RefSeq lists it as uncharacterized. Lineage: Eukaryota; Metazoa; Chordata; Lepidosauria; Squamata; Lacertidae. The record is from RefSeq and is a predicted model, not a curated record. The transcript is spliced from 4 exons.
GGGACUCCCCUUCCAGGAGCCGGCGGAAUUCUCCCCUCACUAACAACCCAGGGAGAACGAAAGCGCAACGGGCGGCGGCCCCAGAGCGCAGCUCUUCCAUUCCGAGGCGCUGCAGGGGCAGAUCCUGCCCAGGUGGCUCGAAGGAAGGGGACUCGAGGAACGCGCCGUCUAAGCGGAGCCCCAGUCCCAGAGAGCAGAGCCCACUCUCGAGGUCUUGGCCACGGGACUUGGGCAGGUCGUGCUCCAAGCACCGCCUCUGGAAAGAUAGUCCAGAGAGCGCGCGGUGUUUCUCAAGAGACAGGUGCCGGGGCUCAAGAGUCCCAGGAGGAACGCGCUCCAUCCCGAAACCGCCUUUUCCCGAACCUAAAAGCGUGGGAAUCGCGCCCUGCACCCUCUCAGAGGCACGCCGCUCUCCCCUCUUUCCUCCUUCUAAAACUAACAUUUCAUAUGCCCCGCAGCUGUCUUAAUAUUAGGAGGGAGGGCGCUGAUUUGGUGACUGACUUCUGGUGAACCCCGAAACAAAUUAAACCAUGAUUUAAGUCCCAUUUAUAUGCAUGGGAAAUCUGGGGAAGAUGAGCAGGCUCCCGCACAUGGCAUGCAUAUUGCAGGGCAUCUCCUGUGGCGCGUCUCUUGUGCACAAAACAAGAGCGUUAUACAUCUGCCCGUCUUCCUACACAGACAGAGACACCUACAGACACCCACCCACCCACCAGGACAGCCAGCGAUUCUCACUCCUUUCUGGGCGUUCCUGGAGGACAACUAUCUGGAGAAUCGUGCCCAGUGCGUUUUUGUGUAUACAAAUACAGCACGCUAGAACAUCUCUUCCUUAAAAUGCCACCAAGAUUCAGUUUCACAAACUGGUUAUUCCUGAAUGCUUGGGUUUCAGCAGUUUUGCUCACCUGAUAGAUUCGGGUUUGAACCGAUUUAAAAACUCAUUACAAUCAACAUUUACAAUUGAAGGCUUGGCACCAGGUAAAAAAGAUCGUGAGAGGAGUAACCUGAAGAAUAGCUGCCGUCUAGCCACCCCAGAACAACACCCCUCUCACUACAGCGAUGGUGGGGGUAGGCUGCGAUUUUUGAAGAGCCUGCUAAUAGUUUGCUUUUUGGUGAUCUAACAUUAGCCAACCAAGUUACUAAAACAUUAAGGUUGCCAUCGGCUCGUCUAAACCCAUCGACUUCAUUGGGUUUUAGAAUGCUUAACUCUGUGUUUGCGGAUGUGCAGAGGGAAAUCCUGUUCCUUUUGCUGUUCAUUCAUUCAAUAAAUCGCGAUCCUAGAUCUGGAAUUACCGAUCCCUCCCCCGGCAAAUUCUGCUUUGCAUCCCUACACGGUCGGACACGCAUCUCAGAGGUAGAGCUCCGCCAGUCAACAUCACCAUGGCUGGAGACAACCUGUGGGGUCCCCAAGGAGGACAGACGGAAAGGCCCACCAUCACCAGAGACCUCAGUAGCAGCUGCCCUUUCCUCAAUCAAGGGGAAAGCAGCAGGGGCAAGUCCUCCUCAAUCAAGCAGGCAUUUCUAAACAGCCUGCCUGGAAUCACCCUGACAGAGUUGCGUGGCCUUUGUAGAUGUGGUCUGACAUACCCUCCGUCCUCCUGCCUGGACACUUCGUUUUGUUUUGACAUGGUUGCACAAUGCCCUGUCCAUGCAUCGGCGCAGAUAACAGCAGAUGACUGCGGCUAAAUCUAGCUCAAGAAAUGGGAGUGUAGCAAAGGAUGCAAUGUAGUCGAAAUGAAAGACUUAAGCCCCAUUGCUUUGAAUGAGAAAAGAAGGCUUCAGUGCAAUUACAUGGGAGUAA